This 429-nucleotide ribosomal RNA is filed under the name Bacteroidota bacterium. Its description in RNAcentral is "Bacteroidetes bacterium partial 16S ribosomal RNA". It matches the Rfam family "Bacterial small subunit ribosomal RNA", at positions 355 to 776 of the family's 1533-position model. The record is from RNAcentral. Lineage: Bacteria; Pseudomonadati; Bacteroidota.
UAGGGAAUCUUCGGCAAUGGGGGGAACCCUGACCGAGCAACGCCGCGUGAGUGAAGAAGGUUUUCGGAUCGUAAAGCUCUGUUGUUAAGGAAGAACGAGUGUGAGAAUGGAAAGUUCAUGCUGUGACGGUACUUAACCAGAAAGGGACGGCUAACUACGUGCCAGCAGCCGCGGUAAUACGUAGGUCCCGAGCGUUGUCCGGAUUUAUUGGGCGUAAAGCGAGCGCAGGCGGUUAGAAAAGUCUGAAGUGAAAGGCAGUGGCUCAACCAUUGUAGGCUUUGGAUACUGUUUAACUUGAGUGCAGAAGGGGAGAGUGGAAUUCCAUGUGUAGCGGUGAAAUGCGUAGAUAUAUGGAGGAACACCGGUGGCGGAAGCGGCUCUCUGGUCUGUAACUGACGCUGAGGCUCGAAAGCGUGGGGAGCGAACAGG